UGCACACUGCACACUGUCCCUUCCCUGAGA
RNAcentral lists this non-coding RNA (30 nucleotides) under Mus musculus (house mouse). The record is from RNAcentral. Lineage: Eukaryota; Metazoa; Chordata; Mammalia; Rodentia; Muridae.